AUAUCUCUUCCUGGAUUGGUACGUUUUACUCGAGGACUCCACUAGGACCGAUUGCAUGGUCAACAGUCCCGGCCUCCUCGCUGUCCUAUACUGAAAUUACACUACAUUACACACUCUGUCUCUGGUCCACCAAGGCUUCUGAUCACAUGACCGCAACACGGGCCAUCUUUACGUGCAAACGUCAGACCAGUAUUUGUCCUUUGUCCGUCGACGUAGUACGCUAAACUGUAUUACUGGCCUGUGUCACAUGUGUCAGCUGAUUGUACACAGUUAACACUAUCGCGUCGCCAAUAGGAUUACAACACCCAGGGUGAAGAAGGCGUGACUAAAAAACUAAAGUUAGUUGAAGCAGAGCUGGCAAAGUUAAAGAUAAAGUAUGCUGUAAGUUAUUUGACUAAUUUCAUGAGAAGCAACAAACAACUGAAAUAAAUCAGCCAAAUGUUCCUCAUUCUUCGAGGACUCCCUUUUGAUUACCCGAGGCACUCACUUGGAUGGCUGCCUGGUCGUGCAGUUUGCGCGCUGGACUGUCGUUCGGAUAUAUCGACGGUCGAGGGUUCA
Molecule: long non-coding RNA, 558 nt
Organism: Biomphalaria glabrata
Lineage: Eukaryota; Metazoa; Mollusca; Gastropoda; Planorbidae
Exons: 3
Source: RefSeq, a predicted model, not a curated record